UGGGGAAUAUUGGACAAUGGGCGAAAGCCUGAUCCAGCCAUGCCGCGUGUGUGAAGAAGGUCUUCGGAUUGUAAAGCACUUUAAGUUGGGAGGAAGGGCAGUAAGUUAAUACCUUGCUGCUUUGACGUUACCGACAGAAUAAGCACCGGCUAACUCUGUGCCAGCAGCCGCGGUAAUACAGAGGGUGCAAGAGUUAAUCGGAAUUACUGGGCGUAAAGCGCGCGUAGGUGGUUUGUUAAGUUGGAUGUGAAAGCCCCGGGCUCAACCUGGGAAAUGCAUCCAAAACUGGCAAGCUAGAGUACGGUAGAGGGUGGUGGAAUUUCCUGUGUAGCGGUGAAAUGCGUAGAUAUAGGAAGGAACACCAGUGGCGAAGGCGACCACCUGGACUGAUACUGACACUGAGGUGCGAAAGCGUGGGGAGCAAACA
This 427-nucleotide ribosomal RNA is filed under the name uncultured bacterium. RNAcentral's name for it is "partial 16S ribosomal RNA". It matches the Rfam family "Bacterial small subunit ribosomal RNA", at positions 355 to 774 of the family's 1533-position model. The record is from RNAcentral.